CAGCUUUUGUCUGGUACUGCUUUAAACAAAAUGAUGCAAUAUUAAAGUAGAGUUCUAGCAUGUCCCCUGAGCAAGGAUGACAUGCAAAUUAGUAAAGUGUUUCAUAUUUCA
RNAcentral lists this small nuclear RNA (111 nucleotides) under Cebus imitator (Panamanian white-faced capuchin). The record is from RNAcentral. Lineage: Eukaryota; Metazoa; Chordata; Mammalia; Primates; Cebidae.